GUCCACGCCGUAAACGAUGAGUACUGGGUGUCGCGGGUAGUUGACCCCUGCGGUGCCGUAGCUAACGCGUUAAGUACUCCGCCUGGGGAUUACGGUCGCAAGAUUAAAACUCAAAGGAAUUGACGGGGGCCCGCACAAGCGGUGGAGCAUGUGGUUUAAUUCGACGCAACGCGAAGAACCUUACCUGGGCUAGACAACGGCGGACCGCCCUAGAGAUAGGGCUUUCCCUUCGGGGACUGCCGGUUCAGGUGCUGCAUGGCUGUCGU
Molecule: ribosomal RNA, 266 nt
Filed under: uncultured bacterium
Lineage: Bacteria
Description: partial 16S ribosomal RNA
Rfam family: Bacterial small subunit ribosomal RNA
Source: RNAcentral